UACGGGGGGGGCAAGCGUUGUUCGGAAUUACUGGGCGUAAAGGGCUCGUAGGUGGCCAACUAAGUCGGACGUGAAAUCCCUCAGCUUAACUGGGGAACUGCGUCCGAUACUGGAUGGCUUGAGUUUGGGAGAGGGAUGCGGAAUUCCAGGUGUAGCGGUGAAAUGCGUAGAUAUCUGGAGGAACACCGGUGGCGAAGGCGGCAUCCUGGACCAACACUGACACUGAGGAGCGAAAGCCAGGGGAGCAAACAGG
Molecule: ribosomal RNA, 253 nt
Filed under: uncultured bacterium
Lineage: Bacteria
Description: partial 16S ribosomal RNA
Rfam family: Bacterial small subunit ribosomal RNA
Source: RNAcentral